AGGGGAGACCAUGGUGUAAAGGGUGAAAAAGGACAACCAGGGCAAGGUGCUCCUGGUCCAAAGGGCCACACAGGCUACACAGGUUCUAAAGGCUCGCGUGGACCGACUGGAAUUGGGAUUAAAGGUGUCAAGGGUGAUAUUGGACCUCCGGGACCACAAGCACUUACAGGCAUGACAGGAAUUGGUUUG
Long non-coding RNA from Hemiscyllium ocellatum (epaulette shark), 189 nucleotides. RefSeq lists it as uncharacterized. NCBI's taxonomy places the organism in Eukaryota, Metazoa, Chordata, Chondrichthyes, Orectolobiformes, Hemiscylliidae. The record is from RefSeq and is a predicted model, not a curated record. The transcript is spliced from 3 exons.